Molecule: unclassified non-coding RNA, 343 nt
Filed under: Neodiprion pinetum (white pine sawfly)
Lineage: Eukaryota; Metazoa; Arthropoda; Insecta; Hymenoptera; Diprionidae
Description: uncharacterized LOC124223972, transcript variant X1
Source: RNAcentral
UAGUCGUGCAAAUCAAGUUUUUAUCAAAGCUGAAUCAGAGGACGAACCAAGAGAGAUACCGGUGUGAAGUUGGAAUUACAAAAAUAAUAGAAUCAAUUGGAAUUUGAAAGACUAAUUUUACUAUAAUAACCUGCUAAUACCCAGAUAUCAGGCUGUCCUUGUUAUAGUUAUUGUCACCAAUUCUAAGGAAUUGGUAAUUAGAGAGGAUGAACAUACCAACUUUAUGGAGAGCCGUAACACGGACCUGUUAUCAAAUGGUGGCAAAAGCUCCGAUACCACAGUACGUCAGCAUCCCGUUGACACGCAGCAUUCACUGCAUGUUUAGUAACGGAUCAUUUUCAAU